This 165-nucleotide ribosomal RNA is filed under the name uncultured bacterium. RNAcentral's name for it is "partial 16S rRNA". It matches the Rfam family "Bacterial small subunit ribosomal RNA", at positions 355 to 511 of the family's 1533-position model. The record is from RNAcentral.
UAGGGAAUCUUCGGCAAUGGACGAAAGUCUGACCGAGCAACGCCGCGUGAGUGAAGAAGGUUUUCGGAUCGUAAAAACUCUGUUGUUAGAGAAGAACAAGGGUGAGAGUAACUGUUCACCCCUUGACGGUAUCUAACCAGAAAGCCACGGCUAACUACGUGCCUG